UGGUUUGUGGCUUUAAAGUUAAGGAACUUGC
This 31-nucleotide non-coding RNA is filed under the name Macaca fascicularis (crab-eating macaque). The record is from RNAcentral. RNAcentral also lists the same sequence under 1 other name. Lineage: Eukaryota; Metazoa; Chordata; Mammalia; Primates; Cercopithecidae.